Molecule: transfer RNA, 100 nt
Filed under: Pseudozyma flocculosa
Lineage: Eukaryota; Fungi; Basidiomycota; Ustilaginomycetes; Ustilaginales; Ustilaginaceae
Description: Anthracocystis flocculosa transfer RNA-Pseudo(CTC)
Source: RNAcentral
UCCUGGUUAGUACAAUGGUCAGUAUAGGACACUCUCACCGGCAGCUUCCCCGGAAGUCGCUCGUGCUGUUCAGAUCGGGGUUCGAUUCCCCGGCCGGGAA